CACCAGGUUGAUUCUGCCUGACGUAUGCGCUUGUCUUGAAGAUUUAGCCAUGCAAGCUUGCGAAGCAUUUUGUGGAGCGGCGGACAGCUCAGUAAUACAGUUAUAAUUAACUCGCGGUGCAUAUACGGAUAACCUUGGUAAGCUAAGGCUAAUACGUGGACAGGUUAUUGAAUUGAGGAAACAAUAAUAACUAAGAGAAAUCUACCGCGACUAAGUUUCUGGCCUAUUAGCUAAAUUGUAGGGUAAUGGCCUACCAUGGCGAUGAUGGGUAACGGAGAAUCAGUGUUUGAUUCCGGAGAGGGAGCCUGAGAAAUAGCUCCCACGUCCAAGGACGGCAGCAGGCGCGAAAAUUACCCAUUUCCUUAACGGGAGAGGUAGUGAAGAGACAUGAAGUUCUACUUAGAGACUGUACAGUAAAUAAGUACAGGAUCGACUGGAGGGCAAGUCUGGUGCCAGCAGCCGCGG
This 465-nucleotide ribosomal RNA is filed under the name uncultured Microsporidia. RNAcentral's name for it is "SSU rRNA". It matches the Rfam family "Microsporidia small subunit ribosomal RNA", at positions 1 to 405 of the family's 1311-position model. The record is from RNAcentral. Lineage: Eukaryota; Fungi; Microsporidia.